UGAGGAAUUUUCCACAAUGGGCGAAAGCCUGAUGGAGCGACGCCGCGUGUGCGAUGAAGUCUUUCGGGAUGUAAAGCACUGUCAGAGGGGACGAUAUUGACGGUACCCUCAAAGGAAGCCACGGCUAACUACGUGCCAGCAGCCGCGGUAAUACGUAGGUGGCGAGCGUUGUCCGGAAUUAUUGGGCGUAAAGAGCGUGUAGGUGGUUCUAUAAGUCAGGUGUUAAAGCCUCCGGCUCAACCGGAGUUCGCAUUUGAUACUGUAGAACUUGAGAGAUUCAGAAGAAAGCGGAACUUGCGGUGUAGCGGUGAAAUGCGUAGAUAUCGCAAGGAACACCAGUGGCGAAGGCGGCUUUCUAGGAAUUUUCUGACACUGAGACGCGAAAGCUAGGGGAGCAAACGGG
Molecule: ribosomal RNA, 403 nt
Filed under: uncultured bacterium
Lineage: Bacteria
Description: bacterial SSU rRNA
Rfam family: Bacterial small subunit ribosomal RNA
Source: RNAcentral